This 440-nucleotide ribosomal RNA is filed under the name uncultured bacterium. Its description in RNAcentral is "partial 16S ribosomal RNA". It matches the Rfam family "Bacterial small subunit ribosomal RNA", at positions 338 to 795 of the family's 1533-position model. The record is from RNAcentral.
CCUACGGGAGGCAGCAGUGGGGAAUAUUGCACAAUGGGGGAAACCCUGAUGCAGCGACGCCGCGUGAGUGAAGAAGUAUUUCGGUACGUAAAGCUCUAUCAGCAGGGAAGAAAAUGACGGUACCUGACUAAGAAGCCCCGGCUAACUACGUGCCAGCAGCCGCGGUAAUACGUAGGGGGCAAGCGUUAUCCGGAUUUACUGGGGGUAAAGGGAGCGUAGAAGGCAGCGGAAGUCUGGAGUGAAAUCCCAUGGCUUAACCAUGGAACUGCUUUGGAAACUGUGCAGCUAGAGUGCAGGAGAGGUAAGCGGAAUUCCUAGUGUAGCGGUGAAAUGCGUAGAUAUUAGGAGGAACACCAGUGGCGAAGGCGGCUUACUGGACUGUAACUGACGUUGAGGCUCGAAAGCGUGGGGAGCAAACAGGAUUAGAUACCCGAGUAGUC